AAUGAACGCUGGCGGCAUGCCUAACACAUGCAAGUCGAACGAGAUCUUCGGAUCUAGUGGCGCACGGGUGAGUAACGCGUGGGAACCUACCUUUUAGUACGGGACAACGUUUGGAAACGAACGCUAAUACCGUAUACGCCCUCCGGGGGAAAGGUCAGCCGCUGAAAGAGGGGCCCGCGUCUGAUUAGCUUGUUGGUAAGGUAACGGCUUACCAAGGCAACGAUCAGUAGCUGGUCUGAGAGGAUGAUCAGCCACACUGGGACUGAGACACGGCCCAGACUCCUACGGGAGGCAGCAGUGGGGAAUAUUGGACAAUGGAGGCAACUCUGAUCCAGCAAUGCCGCGUGUGUGAUGAAGGCCCUAGGGUUGUAAAGCACUUUCAACGGUGAAGAUGAUGACGGUAGCCGUAGAAGAAGCCCCGGCUAACUUCG
RNAcentral lists this ribosomal RNA (431 nucleotides) under uncultured Alphaproteobacteria bacterium. Its description in RNAcentral is "bacterial SSU rRNA". It matches the Rfam family "Bacterial small subunit ribosomal RNA", at positions 29 to 505 of the family's 1533-position model. Lineage: Bacteria; Pseudomonadati; Pseudomonadota; Alphaproteobacteria. The record is from RNAcentral.